Molecule: ribosomal RNA, 253 nt
Filed under: uncultured bacterium
Lineage: Bacteria
Description: partial 16S ribosomal RNA
Rfam family: Bacterial small subunit ribosomal RNA
Source: RNAcentral
UACGAAGGGGGCUAGCGUUGCUCGGAAUCACUGGGCGUAAAGCGCACGUAGGCGGACUCUUAAGUCGGUGGUGAAAUCCUGGAGCUCAACUCCAGAACUGCCUUCGAUACUGGGAGUCUCGAGUUCGGGAGAGGUGAGUGGAGCUGCGAGUGUAGAGGUGAAAUUCGUAGAUAUUCGCAAGAACACCAGUGGCGAAGGCGGCUCACUGGCCCGAUACUGACGCUGAGGUGCGAAAGCGUGGGGAGCAAACAGG